RNAcentral lists this transfer RNA (59 nucleotides) under Proasellus ibericus. RNAcentral's name for it is "transfert RNA-E(GAA)". Lineage: Eukaryota; Metazoa; Arthropoda; Malacostraca; Isopoda; Asellidae. The record is from RNAcentral.
ACUUUAAAGGUGUAAAACAUAUUAUAUUUUCACUAUAAAGUCGGCUUAGCCUUAGAGUA